CCAUUCUCGGAUCUUCUUGAUAGCCCUAACACCCGGGGCCCACCAGGGAUUAUCGUCGCUAUGACCUCUUGAUGAUCGAAUUCGCUCCCACCAGGCCAACCCGACGAAGGAAGAACGUCGGGAACUGAAGCAAGGGAAACAGAAGCAGCAGCGAGUGUCCGCGAGGAGAGGAUUGGAUGAUCGCUCAGGGAUUGAGUCAGGGUCUCUACGAGCCAUUUCUGGGUCUUCUGCACCCAU
Molecule: unclassified non-coding RNA, 237 nt
Filed under: Hevea brasiliensis (rubber tree)
Lineage: Eukaryota; Viridiplantae; Streptophyta; Magnoliopsida; Malpighiales; Euphorbiaceae
Source: RNAcentral